Molecule: ribosomal RNA, 468 nt
Filed under: uncultured bacterium
Lineage: Bacteria
Description: partial 16S ribosomal RNA
Rfam family: Bacterial small subunit ribosomal RNA
Source: RNAcentral
GACGAACGCUGGCGGCGUGCUUAACACAUGCAAGUCGAACGGAAAGGCCCUGCUUUUGUGGGGUGCUCGAGUGGCGAACGGGUGAGUAACACGUGAGUAACCUGCCCUUGACUUUGGGAUAACUUCAGGAAACUGGGGCUAAUACCGGAUAGGAGCUCCUGCUGCAUGGUGGGGGUUGGAAAGUUUCGGCGGUUGGGGAUGGACUCGCGGCUUAUGAGCUUGUUGGUGGGGUAGUGGCUUACCAAGGCUUUGACGGGUAGCCGGCCUGAGAGGGUGACCGGCCACAUUGGGACUGAGAUACGGCCCAGACUCCUACGGGAGGCAGCAGUGGGGAAUAUUGCACAAUGGGCGGAAGCCUGAUGCAGAAGCGCCGCGUGCGGGAUGACGGCCUUCGGGUUGUAAACCGCUUUCGCCUGUGACGAAGCGUGAGUGACGGUAAUGGGUAAAGAAGCACCGGCUAACUACGUG